GAUGAAGAACGUAGCGAAAUGCGAUAAGUAAUGUGAAUUGCAGAAUUCAGUGAAUCAUCGAGUCUUUGAACGCACAUUGCGCCCCCUGGUAUUCCGGGGGGCAUGCCUGUCCGAGCGUCAUUGCUGCCCUCAAGCACGGCUUGUGUGUUGGGCUCCGUCCCCCCGGGGACGGGCCCGAAAGGCAGCGGCGGCACCGAGUCCGGUCCUCGAGCGUAUGGGGCUUUGUCACCCGCUCUGUAGGCCCGGCCGGCGCCAGCCGACAACCCAUCAUCCUUUUCAGGUUGACCUCGGAUCAGGUAGGGAUACCCGCUGAACUUAAGCAUAUCAUAAGCGGAGGA
This 338-nucleotide unclassified non-coding RNA is filed under the name soil metagenome. RNAcentral describes it as "partial contains 5.8S ribosomal RNA, internal transcribed spacer 2, and large subunit ribosomal RNA". The stretch from base 1 to 120 matches the Rfam family "5.8S ribosomal RNA", at positions 35 to 154 of the family's 154-position model. The record is from RNAcentral.